GAACGCUGGCGGCGUGCCUAAUACAUGCAAGUAGAACGCACAGUUUAUACCGUAGCUUGCUACACCAUAAACUGUGAGUUGCGAACGGGUGAGUAACGCGUAGGUAACCUGCCUGGUAGCGGGGGAUAACUAUUGGAAACGAUAGCUAAUACCGCAUAAUAUUAAUUAUUGCAUGAUAAUUGAUUGAAAGAUGCAAUUGCAUCACUACCAGAUGGACCUGCGUUGUAUUAGCUAGUAGGUGAGGUAACGGCUCACCUAGGCGACGAUACAUAGCCGACCUGAGAGGGUGAUCGGCCACACUGGGACUGAGACACGGCCCAGACUCCUACGGGAGGCAGCAGUAGGGAAUCUUCGGCAAUGGACGAAAGUCUGACCGAGCAACGCCGCGUGAGUGAAGAAGGGUUUCGGAUCGUAAAGCUCUGUUGUAAGAGAAGAACGGGUGUGAGAGUGGAAAGUUCACACUGUGACGGUAUCUUACCAGAAAGGGACGGCUAACUACGUG
Molecule: ribosomal RNA, 502 nt
Filed under: uncultured bacterium
Lineage: Bacteria
Description: partial 16S ribosomal RNA
Rfam family: Bacterial small subunit ribosomal RNA
Source: RNAcentral